RNAcentral lists this ribosomal RNA (252 nucleotides) under uncultured bacterium. Its description in RNAcentral is "partial 16S ribosomal RNA". It matches the Rfam family "Bacterial small subunit ribosomal RNA", at positions 524 to 776 of the family's 1533-position model. The record is from RNAcentral.
GACGAAGGAUGCAAGCGUUAUCCGGAUUCAUUGGGUUUAAAGGGAGCGUAGGUGGCCUUAUAAGUCAGUGGUGAAAUCUCUGGGCUUAACCCAGAAAUGCCAUUGAUACUGUAGGGCUUGAGUACAGUUGCUGUGGGCGGAAUAUGACAUGUAGUGGUGAAAUACAUAGAGAUGUCAUAGAACACCGAUUGCGAAGGCAGCUCACAAAACUGUAACUGACACUGAGGCUCGAAAGUGCGGGGAUCAAACAGG